Oncorhynchus kisutch (coho salmon) is the source of this 3263-nucleotide long non-coding RNA. The record is from Ensembl. Lineage: Eukaryota; Metazoa; Chordata; Actinopteri; Salmoniformes; Salmonidae.
GCGGGAGAAGUGCGUGAUAUCUCUCCCAAGUGAAAGCGAAAGUCUCCAGCUCCCCAUUUCGUGUAAGUGACUGUUACAAAUAAUUAACGUGUCCUGACCUGGGUGAGACGACACUCUACUGUCGACUGCAAAAAGUAGAAGAAUUAAGGGAAACAGCCAGACCUGUUGGUAUCGUCAGCUUUCCAGACACUGGGUGAGAGACCACGCUCUAAUGUCGACUGCAAAAGUUGAAGAAUUAAGGAGACUGGAGUUAAAGAAACAGUGAUCAAAUACCACCACACCAUGGAAAACGCCAUGUACGAUAUUACAGUGUCAGUGCUUCUUCUGCUUGGUAUUUGCCUCCCUGGCCUUGGUUGGAUUAUCACCCUGUCUCUCUGCCAUAAACGCUGGGAAAGAAAACAUGUCACGUUUAGUCUCGUGACCCUCCUUAUCACUCACACACUGCAGCUGAUCAUUUCCCCGUUUAUUGUGGAAACUGUGCUAACCGGGGUUCCCUGUUGGCAUGCUAGUUGGUGGUGUACUACAGUAUACAUAAUGUUCUCAGUGUCAAGAUUCUGCGGCCUGGUUUUACACCUGUGUGUUGCUCUGGAGAAGAUCUUGUCUCUGCGUCAUCGAGCGAUUAAAGGAUUGUUUUGGGAAGCGAGAGCAGCAAACAACAGGCGUAGAACUCAAUUCACCUAUCCUCAAUUGCUUUCAUUCUGUCACCUCGCCUUCUCAAACUGCAUUGGAGGAGGACCAUGGGGAGGGACCUCCAAUAAUGGAGGAUGAGAUGUGAUGUGAGGAAUCAAGGAAAGAUACAUUGUAAAAAAUCCCAGUACUGAAGGCUAUUUGAGGGCUAAUACUCAUAUGAAGGGGCGGCAGGUAGCCUAGUGGUUAGAGCGUUGGACUAGUAACCGGAAGGUUGCAAGUUCAAAACCCCCGAGCUGAUAAGGUACAAAUAUGUCGUUCUGCCCCUGAACAGGCAGUUAACCCACUGUUCCUAGGCCGUCAUUGAAAAUAAGAAUUUGUUCUUAACUGAUUUGCCUAGUUAAAUAAAGGUAAAAAUAAUUUAAAAAAAAAUAAAAUGAAGGAGUAGAGGCUGGUGGAAUGGAGCUAUAGGAGGACUGACUCAUUGUAAUGGCUGGAAUGGAAUAAAUGGAACUGAGGUUCCAUUUGGCUAACAUGUGGUUUCCAUAUGUGUGAUGUGUUUGAUACCGUUCUAUUAAUUCCCUUCCAGCCAUUACAAUGAGCCUGUCCUCCUAUAGCUCCUCCCACAAGCCUCUACUAGAGGGAUAAGGGGGAUGAAUGCACUGACUCUAAGUCACUCUGGAUAAGAGUGUCUGCUAAAUGACCAACAUGUAAAUAUAUGUAGAGUCUAGUUGCAACUAAAUAACAGAUGUACUUGUUUGUAAUCCUCCUUGGUAGGCCAAUGACUAGUUGCUUUGUAUCAUAAACAGUUAUCCUAUUCAUAUUUUGGGAAACUGUGAUGUUGUUCGUCCUUUCUUUAUUAUUCAUUUUUAUAUUAUAAUCACAUUCUAAUGUUCAACAUUACCAUAACCUCCCACAACAAUGACCAGAGUUCAUUCACUUAUUGUUUAUCAGUUACAUCUUUUAUUAAAUGAUUUGGAACAUUUUUAAUCAGUACAACAUUUCCAGUCAUAAUUAUAAUAAACAAUGAUGUAAUUAACAGGAUUUUUUGUUGUUGUUGUCUUGAUUAUAAACUUUAUAAUAUAUUUUCCUCAUGAACAUGUAAACAAUCAUUAAGUUUCCCCCACCACAUUGUGUCGUUGUUCAGGACCGAGAACAGUACCAGAGAGAGAGAGAAAGGGUUAGAUAUCCAUCCUUGUAGCAAUGGCUUCUAUGACAGCAUGGACAGCACCAUUUUGGGGAAUUGAUGGCUAUUAAUUAUAUAAAGUAAUAAACACAUGUUUAAUCAUAGCAACAAUGUUUGUGUUUAAUAUAUGUCUUUAUUUGUAAAUGUUACAUUUCAUAACUCUGGUCCAGGGUCACAUUCCCAGUCCAGAGCUCUGGUCCAGGGUCACAUUCCCAGUCCAUAGCUCUGGUCCAGGGUCACAUUCCCAGUCCAUAACUCUGGUCCAGGGUCACAUUCCCAGUCCAUAACUUUGGUCCAGGGUCACAUUCCCAGUCCAUAACUUUGGUCCAGGGUCACAUUCCCAGUCCAGAGCUUUGGUCCAGGGUCACAUUCCCAGUCCAUAACUUUGGUCCAGGGUCACAUUCCCAGUCCAGAGCUUUGGUCCAGGGUCACAUUCCCAGUCCAUAACUUUGGUCCAGGGUCACAUUCCCAGUCCAGAGCUUUGGUCCAGGGUCACAUUCCCAGUCCAUAACUUUGGUCCAGGGUCACAUUCCCAGUCCAGAGCUUUGGUCCAGGGUCACAUUCCCAGUCCAGAGCUCUGGUCCAGGGUCACAUUCCCAGUCCAUAACUCUGGUCCAGGGUCACAUUCCCAGUCCAUAACUCUGGUCCAGGGUCACAUUCCCAGUCCAUAACUCUGGUCCAGGGUCACAUUCCCAGUCCAGAGCUCUGGUCCAGGGUCACAUUCCCAGUCCAGAGCUCUGGUCCAGGGUCACAUUCCCAGUCCAGAGCUCUGGUCCAGGGUCACAUUCCCAGUCCAGAGCUCUGGUCCAGGGUCACAUUCCCAGUCCAGAGCUCUGGUCCAGGGUCACAUUCCCAGUCCAGAGCUCUGGUCCAGGGUCACAUUCCCAGUCCAGAGCUCUGGUCCAGGGUCACAUUCCCAGUCCAGAGCUCUGGUCCAGGGUCACAUUCCCAGUCCAGAGCUCUGGUCCAGGGUCACAUUCCCAGUCCAGAGCUCUGGUCCAGGGUCACAUUCCCAGUCCAGAGCUUGGUCCAGGGUCACAUUCCCAGUCCAGAGCUCUGGUCCAGGGUCACAUUCCCAGUCCAGAGCUCUGGUCCAGGGUCACAUUCCCAGUCCAGAGCUCUGGUCCAGGGUCACAUUCCCAGUCCAGAGCUCUGGUCCAGGGUCACAUUCCCAGUCCAGAGCUUUGGUCCAGGGUCACAUUCCCAGUCCAGAGCUCUGGUCCAGGGUCACAUUCCCAGUCCAGAGCUUUGGUCCAGGGUCACAUUCCCAGUCCAGAGCUCUGGUCCAGGGUCACAUUCCCAGUCCAGAGCUCUGGUCCAGGGUCACAUUCCCAGUCCAGAGCUCUGGUCCAGGGUCACAUUCCCAGUCCAGAGCUUUGGUCCAGGGUCACAUUCCCAGUCCAGAGCUCUGGUCCAGGGUCACAUUCCCAGUCCAGAGCUUUGGUCCAGG